CCAGAAGCACGUGACCUCCACAGUAGCCAUAAACACGCAUGGAUACCGUGGAAGUCUUGCAAGUUGAUCGCAAAGAUGCACAUAUCAAUCUGGAAUUCUGGCUUAAAGCCAGAAUUGCAGGAAUGCAACACGUGUUGCAGAGGACUCUUUCACUGCCCUCUGUGCCCCAUUUUCAGCCCUACUGUCAGGGCAAAGAUUGAGGAGCAUCUAAGUGUGCAUAUAAAAAAUGCUUUGCAUUUCAACGAUAAAAUGAUAUGCCGGUGCAGGCUGCCUUGUAGGACAACAGGACACUUUCACUGCCCUGUCUGUAAGAUUACAAUCAUACGGCGUGGGGAUAUGGCAAGGCAUUUAUUGUCUUGUCAGCAUUCUUCAAUGCCAAGUCAGCCACCAUUAUCAGGACUGCUCCCUGCUGAACUCUCCGAGGAGACCCGUAUUCCUCCGGCAGUACUCUUCGAGGAGCCCCGUCUCCCCCCCAAGGUUUUGUCUUCGGUAUCUGAACCAUUUUCUGAAUCUUUGUUAGAACAUUCAUAUGCUCUACCCUCUGUGUUCAAUAAAACUGCAGCUGAUGGAAAGUCCAUGAAAAUGACAUGCCCUCACUGUGGCCUUACUCUUCGUACCAAAAACUACAAGGCUCACAUGAUGAGGAAGCACUCCAACCAAUCAAUAGAUGUUUGCCUGGCCAGUCAUCUGCAGUGUGUUUGUGUAGAUGAAACUACAGGGUUAUUUGCUGAUCAGAGAACUGGCCAUGGGUUUUCUGUGCCAGUUCACGUUCAGAGGAAAACAUGGGGGAUGUCUCACAAUAUCAGAUGUGAGCUGGAGG
This is a long non-coding RNA of Oreochromis niloticus (Nile tilapia), 820 nucleotides long. RefSeq lists it as uncharacterized. The record is from RefSeq and is a predicted model, not a curated record. Lineage: Eukaryota; Metazoa; Chordata; Actinopteri; Cichliformes; Cichlidae. The transcript is spliced from 3 exons.